Molecule: long non-coding RNA, 529 nt
Organism: Apis dorsata (giant honeybee)
Lineage: Eukaryota; Metazoa; Arthropoda; Insecta; Hymenoptera; Apidae
Exons: 4
Source: RefSeq, a predicted model, not a curated record
GGGUGAAUAAAAAGAAAGAGAGAGAGAGGAGAGAGAGAGAGAGAGAAAGUAACAGGGAAUGGAAAUGUAAUGGAGUAAAUUUACGAGAUAUAAAGAAUUGGUAACACGAAUUUCAGAUUAAAAGUUGUUGAAAUAUUGUUGUUUACGACUCGAGCACGAUGUUUCGCAAACAGAAUAUCGAAUCGUAAUCUGGAUUUAAAAUGGCGGAUUUCUUUGAGGUUUGAUUCGAGUGCUGAUUGUCAGCACGAACUCGAUAAUCACUACGGGCAGAGAAUGAAACGGUUACGUGCAGAAAAACACUAUGUUCCCCUUGCCGUAAUUAUAGCUGUUGGUUGAAGGCGACGAAAGGUGCGAAGUGUCGUUAGAUCGUUACCCGGGAACGCGAGCGACAUCCUUUAACGAACCGAGUCUGUCAUUUGCCGCCACGAAAUUUUCUACUUUCCACUUGUAGACACCUGUGCCAAUUCGAGUGGAAGGACGAAUUAAAAUAAAAUGUGCAAAUAAUUUAUAACCAUUUGUAUCUGAUAAC